UAAAGAGUUUAAUGCUUUGCUAAAUCGGAAGUUUGCAUUCAAGAUAGCCAUAGGUUCUUAUAACCUCAAAAACAAAGCAGAUGGCUACUCUGUUUCAAAGUUGACUGAAAAUCCAACAGUCAUGUCCGAGCUUGAUCACCAUUUUGAUGCUAUGCAGCCUGUGGAGGAGGAACCGUUAAACGUUGUUUCUGCUGAUUCAAAUCCAACUGUUAAGGUUCAUGUUAAGGAUUCUGUUUCCCGUACGGGUGAUGAUGAGACUCCGAUUUCUAAGUUGAACAAGAGCAUGUUUACCACACCCUCUGGUCCUG
Long non-coding RNA from Helianthus annuus (common sunflower), 308 nucleotides. RefSeq lists it as uncharacterized. NCBI's taxonomy places the organism in Eukaryota, Viridiplantae, Streptophyta, Magnoliopsida, Asterales, Asteraceae. The record is from RefSeq and is a predicted model, not a curated record. The transcript has 3 exons.